This 528-nucleotide ribosomal RNA is filed under the name Bacillus sp. (in: firmicutes). RNAcentral's name for it is "bacterial SSU rRNA". It matches the Rfam family "Bacterial small subunit ribosomal RNA", at positions 38 to 550 of the family's 1533-position model. The record is from RNAcentral. Lineage: Bacteria; Bacillati; Bacillota; Bacilli; Caryophanales; Bacillaceae.
UGCGGCAGCUAUACAUGCAAGUCGAGCGAAUGGAUUAAGAGCUUGCUCUUAUGAAGUUAGCGGCGGAGGGUUAACACGUGGGUAACCUGCCCAUAAGACUGGGAUAACUACGGGAAAGCGGGGCUAAUACCGGAUAACAUUUUGAACCGCAUGGUUCGAAAUUGAAAGGCGGCUUCGGCUGUCACUUAUGGAUGGACCCGCGUCGCAUUAGCUAGUUGGUGAGGUAACGGCUCACCAAGGCAACGAUGCGUAGCCGACCUGAGAGGGUGAUCGGCCACACUGGGACUGAGACACGGCCCAGACUCCUACGGGAGGCAGCAGUAGGGAAUCUUCCGCAAUGGACGAAAGUCUGACGACGAGCAACGCUGCGUGAGUGAUGAAGGGUUUCGGGUCGUAAAACUCUGUUGUUAGGGAAGAAUAAUUAGUUGUAAUUAACUGUGCACGUCUUGACGGUACCUAACCAGAAAGCCACGGCUAACUACGUGCCAGCAGCCGCGGUAAUACGUAGGUGGCAAGCGUUUAUCGGAA